This 463-nucleotide ribosomal RNA is filed under the name uncultured bacterium. Its description in RNAcentral is "partial 16S ribosomal RNA". It matches the Rfam family "Bacterial small subunit ribosomal RNA", at positions 28 to 507 of the family's 1533-position model. The record is from RNAcentral.
GAUGAACGCUGACAGAAUGCUUAACACAUGCGAGUCUUUGGCGAAGCUGUGCUUGCACAGCCUAGCCAAGGCGGACGGGUGAGUAACGCGUAAGGAACUUGCCCUGCAGUCAGGGAUAACAGACGGAAACGACUGAUAAGACCUGGUAAAGUCAGGCGGACUCAUGUCCAGCCUGAUGAAAAGAGAUGCUGCAGGAGAGCCUUGCGUCCUAUUAGCUUGUUGGUGGGGUAACGGCCCACCAAGGCGAUGAUAGGUAGCCGGCCUGAGAGGGUGGACGGCCACAAGGGGACUGAGAUACGGCCCUUACUCCUACGGGAGGCAGCAGUGGGGAAUAUUGGACAAUGGGGGCAACCCUGAUCCAGCAAUUCUGUGUGCACGAUGAAGGUUUUCGGAGUGUAAAGUGCUUUCAGCAGGGAAGAAAAAAAUGACGGUACCUGCAGAAGAAGCGACGGCUAAAUACGUG